AACAUGUGGCACAAUGGGUCAGUGAAUCAGGCUGUUAACCAGAAGGUUGGUGGUUCAAACCCACCCAUGGACG
RNAcentral lists this transfer RNA (73 nucleotides) under Podarcis lilfordi (Lilford's wall lizard). RNAcentral describes it as "tRNA.Asn". It matches the Rfam family "tRNA". From Rfam's summary of the family: Transfer RNA (tRNA) molecules are approximately 80 nucleotides in length. Their secondary structure includes four short double-helical elements and three loops (D, anti-codon, and T loops). Further hydrogen bonds mediate the characteristic L-shaped molecular structure. tRNAs have two regions of fundamental functional importance: the anti-codon, which is responsible for specific mRNA codon recognition, and the 3' end, to which the tRNAs corresponding amino acid is attached (by aminoacyl-tRNA synthetases). tRNAs cope with the degeneracy of the genetic code in two manners: having more than one tRNA (with a specific anti-codon) for a particular amino acid; and 'wobble' base-pairing, i.e. permitting non-standard base-pairing at the 3rd anti-codon position. Lineage: Eukaryota; Metazoa; Chordata; Lepidosauria; Squamata; Lacertidae. The record is from RNAcentral.